UGAGCAAUCUGCCCUUCUCUUCGGAAUAAGCGUUGGAAACGACGUCUAAUGCCGAAUACGACCUCCUUUCGCAUGAUCGGAGGUGGAAAGCUCCGGCGGAGAAGGAUGAGCUCGCGGCCUAUCAGCUAGUUGGUGUGGGUAAUGGCCCACCAAGGCGACGACGGGUAGCCGGCCUGAGAGGGUGACCGGCCACACGUGGGACUGAGACACGGCCCAGACCUCCGUACGGGAGGNAGCG
Molecule: ribosomal RNA, 238 nt
Filed under: uncultured bacterium
Lineage: Bacteria
Description: partial 16S ribosomal RNA
Rfam family: Bacterial small subunit ribosomal RNA
Source: RNAcentral